AUUGAACGCUGGCGGCAUGCUUUACACAUGCAAGUCGAACGGUAACAGGGUGCUUGCACCGCUGACGAGUGGCGAACGGGUGAGUAAUGCAUCGGAAUGUACCGUGUAAUGGGGGAUAGCUCGGCGAAAGCCGGAUUAAUACCGCAUACGCCCUGAGGUGGAAAGUGGGGGACCGAAAGGCCUCACGUUAUACGAGCAGCCGAUGUCUGAUUAGCUAGUUGGUGAGGUAAAGGCUCACCAAGGCGUCGAUCAGUAGCGGGUCUGAGAGGAUGAUCCGCCACACUGGGACUGAGAAACGGCCCAGACUCCUACGGGAGGCAGCAGUGGGGAAUUUUGGACAAUGGGCGCAAGCCUGAUCCAGCCAUGCCGCGUGUCUGAAGAAGGCCUUCGGGUUGUAAAGGACUUUUGUCCGGGAGCAAAUCCUAGUGGUUAAUACCUACUGGAGCUGAGAGUACCGGAAGAAUAAGCACCGGCUAACUACGUG
RNAcentral lists this ribosomal RNA (484 nucleotides) under uncultured bacterium. Its description in RNAcentral is "partial 16S ribosomal RNA". It matches the Rfam family "Bacterial small subunit ribosomal RNA", at positions 30 to 507 of the family's 1533-position model. The record is from RNAcentral.